This is an RNA transcript of Sciurus carolinensis (gray squirrel), 1648 nucleotides long. It is a transcript of the gene named defensin beta 134, with no coding region annotated. Lineage: Eukaryota; Metazoa; Chordata; Mammalia; Rodentia; Sciuridae. The transcript is spliced from 3 exons. The record is from RefSeq and is a predicted model, not a curated record.
AGAGAGCUCCUCACACCAGGUGCACCUGGAGCCCAGCGUGCCCAGACCUGCAGGUCUGCACAGGAGGGUGCACGCAAACUCCCCUCCUGUCUUUUCUCUGACAACAGGUGUCAGGGCUGCCCCUACCUCCGCAGCAGAAAGCCCCAGCCAUGAAGCCUCUCCUCCUUGUGUUUGCCUUUCUCGGCUUUUGGGACACAGCAAGCACUGGCAAGGACAUGAGGAAGCAAAUUUGGAACUGCUUAUUUCAAGAGAAUCACUUUGUUUUCUGGGAUCAAAGAAACGUCUGAUCAGAUGAGGUGGUAGCUAACCAGACUUGAGGGUGGCAUGACCAGGCUUGUCCAUAGCCUUUCCUGAUUCUGAAAUCUCACCUUGGAUAUUCUCUUCACUGCAUGUUACUGAAUCUGUCCAAAUCCUUAUGUUGUAGACACCCAUCUAAUUUUCUAGCAUCCUGAAGUAUUUUCUAGGCAGAUGAACCAGAUUUUCAGAUCUCGUGACUCUACAGUCUGAAUUUAAGAAUCAAUGGGAUCCAGGCCUCUUGAAGUUGCUACUGGGACCUGUUCCACUUCAGUUUAUGACAAUGGAUCCAUGGCCUCCAUGUCAGCAGCUCCACGUAGUCUUCAGAGUUCCCUGUGGUGCCCUAUACUCGUCAUUGCCAUGGGAAUUUCUCGUCUCACUAUGUAGACCUCUGCACCUUACCUUCCCGAAAGGCUACAGAUGAACCCACUUGGGCUUCUAUCUUGCAGCCAGGUCUGAAUCCAUUAUCUUCAGUAGUACACAAGAAAUGCUAUCGAAAUGGUACCUGCAGGUUCGAGUGCUACGGAAGUGAGAUGCUAGUUGCCUACUGCACAUUCCGGCUGGAGUGCUGUGUCACAGGAGACCCAGGGCCCUGAUAUGAGGAAACAAUGAGUGACAAUUAACUUAAAGACCCUGAUACUCUCCUCUUACACAAAGCCAGGAAUAGAAGCUGAACUCUGACUCUGCCAUAUGCUUAUGACUGUCAGGCUUCAAUCUUUUCUAAGCCAUCAGAAUCUUGGGAUCUCGGAUUUGAAGACAUAAUCUGAAGCCUCCUUAGAAAGAGUUAGGUGUCCCAUGCAAAUAAUUUGAAUGUAUUUUCUCAGUUCCAAGUGGUAUCCAGUAUUCUCAUAGUGCCCAUUUCUCUCUGUGGUCAUAGAGAGAAUGUCUUUAUUACUUAGAGAGGCUUCCAUAGAAACCCUUCUUUACACCUAGGUCCUGUCCCAUCUUAGAGCAACAGACCUCCCUGGCCCUCUGACAACCUUGGGCAUCCCUCACGUGGCCCACACAGCAAGGCUUUAGCUCCAGGGGGCUCAGAGUCAUGACUGUGUCUGACCCUGAAGUUCUUCUUGAAACAGACGGAGAGAGGCCACCUUAGAACAGGCUGACACAAGGCUCUUUCUCAUCCACCUCCUAGUUUCAGUGAAGCAUGGGACUUUCCACCUCAGCUCCUCGGCAUUCAGCGACAAGCUAUAAGAUGACUUGGUAACAGUUCAGUGUUGAUGUCAGGGCAGCUGAGUGACCCACUGCCUCUGCUGCCCAUCAUCUGGCCCCCUGACUGAUGGUGUUCUUUAGGCCUAAGAGCUGAUACCAUGCUGUUCUUGCUUUGCUGUGUCUGUAACUAAUAAAUGUCCAA